GCACCCGUAGUUCAAUGGAUAGAAUGAGUGAUUCCGGUUCUCUUGAUAGGGGUUCGAUUCCCCUCGGGUGUA
RNAcentral lists this transfer RNA (72 nucleotides) under Bacteroides sp. RNAcentral's name for it is "tRNA-Arg". It matches the Rfam family "tRNA". Rfam says of the family: Transfer RNA (tRNA) molecules are approximately 80 nucleotides in length. Their secondary structure includes four short double-helical elements and three loops (D, anti-codon, and T loops). Lineage: Bacteria; Pseudomonadati; Bacteroidota; Bacteroidia; Bacteroidales; Bacteroidaceae. RNAcentral also lists the same sequence under 2 other names. The record is from RNAcentral.